This is a long non-coding RNA of Rhipicephalus sanguineus (brown dog tick), 620 nucleotides long. RefSeq lists it as uncharacterized. The transcript is spliced from 3 exons. The record is from RefSeq and is a predicted model, not a curated record. Lineage: Eukaryota; Metazoa; Arthropoda; Arachnida; Ixodida; Ixodidae.
CUUCGCCCUGCACAGGCGCAUCGCGAGAGAGCUGGGGAUUCGAGGUUAUCCGCAAGCGUACGUGCCAAUAGACGCCCGAGGUCGCCGCUACGCCUGCAUCAUUGUCCCGGACGUGAUUCCCACGACAGAGCACCGUGUCGUCUGUGUCUGCGUCUGGAAUAGACUGAAUUACGUGGCUAUCUGGGCAGCCGAGUCGAUGGACCGGCAAUAUCUUCGUUCGGCACUUGCUUCCGCGUUCUGCGGAAAUCCGGACGAAUUGCGGAUUGGUUCGUACCAGACCGUCGAGGUCGCGUAUACAGCAGCCUGCCACGAUGACACGGACCGACGGGCCCCGUCCUAAAAUCAGGAAGUCUCCCGUGCUAUGGCGUUGAGCAGCACGAGCUCCUGGAGGAUCCACACGUAUGCCAUUGUCAGAUGCUGUUUCCGCCGGGCACCAAGAUGGCGAUGGUGUCAGCGACCUGCAAUACCGUUAACUUGAUUAGUUCGCCUUGCAGCAGUGCCGCUCUUGCAGCCACAAGAGGAUUGCCUUUGCCUUGCUUUUUCGUAACUAGCAUGCUCAACGUGGCAAGUCUUGAAGCUUUCUUAAGUGGCCCUCCAGGUUGCUUCCACUCGCCCAUUUU